RNAcentral lists this ribosomal RNA (494 nucleotides) under uncultured bacterium. RNAcentral describes it as "bacterial SSU rRNA". It matches the Rfam family "Bacterial small subunit ribosomal RNA", at positions 28 to 498 of the family's 1533-position model. The record is from RNAcentral.
GAUGAACGCUAGCGGCAGGCUUAAUACAUGCAAGUCGAGGGGCAUCAAGGUACACGAAAGUGUAUUGUUGGCGACCGGCGGACGGGUGAGUAAUAGGUAGGUAACCUACCUCAUACUGAGGCAUAGCUGGGAGAAAUUCCAGGUAAUUCCUCAUGAGGUUAUAUGACACAUGUGAUAUAAUCAAAGGUAUCGCAAGGUACUGGUAUGAGAUGGGCUUACUGACCAUUAGCUAGUUGGUGAGAUAAGAGCUCACCAAGGCGAAGAUGGUUAAGGGGUUUUGAGAGAGAGAUCCCCCACAUUGGAACUGAGAUACGGUCCAGACUCCUACGGGAGGCAGCAGUAGGGAAUAUUGGGCAAUGGGCGGAAGCCUGACCCAGCCAUGCCGCGUGAAGGAAGACGGCCUUAUGGGUUUGUAAAACUUCUUUACUAUGCGACUAAACUAGAAUUUACGAGAUAAUUCUAAUAGAAUAGUAGCAUAAGCAAAAAAGCAACCC